Molecule: ribosomal RNA, 305 nt
Filed under: uncultured bacterium
Lineage: Bacteria
Description: bacterial SSU rRNA
Rfam family: Bacterial small subunit ribosomal RNA
Source: RNAcentral
AGGAGCCUACGGGGGGCAGCAGUGGGGAAUAUUGGGCAAUGGGCGCAAGCCUGACCCAGCGACGCCGCGUGAGGGAAGACGGUCUUCGGAUUGUAAACCUCUUUCAGCAGGGAAGACAAAAGGACGGUACCUGCAGAAGAAGCCACGGCUAACUACGUGCCAGCAGCCGCGGUAAUACGUAGGUGGCAAGCGUUAUCCGGAAUUACUGGGUGUAAAGGGCGUGUAGGCGGGAAUGCAAGUCAGAUGUGAAAACUAUGGGCUCAACCCAUAGCCUGCAUUUGAAACUGUAUUUCUUGAGUGCUGGA